This 322-nucleotide long non-coding RNA is filed under the name Linum usitatissimum (flax). RNAcentral describes it as "long non-coding RNA (LUSI_LNC007117)". Lineage: Eukaryota; Viridiplantae; Streptophyta; Magnoliopsida; Malpighiales; Linaceae. The record is from RNAcentral.
UGUCAUCUGCUUUUACUAAUACAUCCUGUAUUUACUUCGUGCAUUCCGUUUUUACUAAUUCAGUCCGUUUUUACUUCAUGCAGUCCAUUUUUACUUCACGCAAUCAAUUUUUAUAAACAAAUAUCUCAAAUAUAAAUAAAUAUCCCGAAAAUUGUAAAUAAAUAUCCACAAAAAUAAAUAAAAAAUCCCAAAAAUUAUAAAUAAAAGUAUUCCAUAUAUAAAUAAAUAUCUAAAAAAAAAUCCUACAAAUAAAAAAAAUUAUUCAAAAUAUUCUAAAAUAAAUAUUCCAAAAAUUAUAAAUAAAAAUAUCUUUCGUUUCAUC